CCUUAGAGCGCCAUCCGCACUUCAGUCGCAGUUCCCAAAGUGUGCAUGUUGUUUUCCGCCUGGUGAAUUAUAGUGUUUGAGACUCUGUUAGUGAGUUUUCUCUUCACACAAGGUCUGUGCAUAAGGACAAAUAUGCCAGAACUGCCAAAAAAAAGAAAAAUCUAAGGGAGCGCUUACAGUUAAAUUGGAGGUCCUAAAGAUUAGUUGGGCAAGAUUAAAAAUAUCGAAGAGAAUCGGCUUUCAUGUUGAUGCAUGUUCGGGUUCGGUCCUGUGGGUUGGGUUCGGGUUUGGUCGGCUGGGGUCGGGUUUGGUAGGCUGCGGGUCAUCUGCGAGAACUACUUACCUUGGCGGAGGGAUUACGGACCGGGCAAAAUGGUGUUACACGGUCCGGUCAACUGAACUGUAAUCUACCCGAUCUAAGUCUAGGACAUUGUUCUCUGACGUUUUUUCCGAGCCGUCAACGGCGCAGGCUCGUUACGAAUAGCUGCGAUCGGCAACAUCGUCAUCACUUUGCGCUUAGCUGGUCACGUGAUACAACAGCUACACAAGGUCAUACGAACAAAUCUGUACGAAAUAUGUUGUAAUGGCCACAGCAAGGAAGUUUCUUAACAUAAAGUUGAAGGAAACUGCUGCUCCCGGCGCUGCUUUUGUGUUUAGCAGUGUGCAAGAUCAUUUAGUAUGUCAGCUUGUAAAAAGGUGUGAGUAGUGUGUAUAGCCUUAGGAUGUCAAGAGGACAUCACUAUUAUUACCAUUGACGUAGGUAAACGGUACCAAAAGAAGUAUGUAGAGAGGAUGUCCGACCUGCUUGAUGUAAACGCGCAUGCGCACUGGUCAUGUCUAUUUUUAGCAACGGGACAGUUGCCGAUCGCUAAGGUCACCAUCACAUCAUAACCACUGGAAAUAUUUUACCACCUGCAGCAACUUAUCAGAUCCCUGUGGAACAUCUACGCAGAAGCCACAUUAUGCAGAGGUGAGGCGACGGACCACGAAACCUUCGCUUCGGAUGUGACUGACUGAUGUGGAGCAUAUGAAAGGAGGGAACUCAUCAAAUAUGUCCAGGAGAUAGCGGAGUGAACUUCCUGACUGAGUGGAGCAUAUGAAAGGAGAGAAUGUUUUUGAUGAGUUCUCGCCUUUCAUAUGCUCCCCAUCAAUCAGGAGGUACACCCCACUGUCUCCUGGUCAUAUAUGAUGAAGAGUUCCCUCCUUUCAUAUGCUCCAUUUGAUAUGACUAGUUAGUUUUAUCGCAUCUGGCCAGAUACUGCUAAGUUUCAGGACAAUAAAACAUGAUUAAAAUAUCACAACCUUUCAAUUUAUUAGAUUUUUGUAAUUUACGCGAUCUAUGCUGCCCACCGCCAAAAAAUUAAACACUGAGGCAUUCAGAA
This is a long non-coding RNA of Macrobrachium nipponense, 1382 nucleotides long. RefSeq lists it as uncharacterized. The transcript has 4 exons. The record is from RefSeq and is a predicted model, not a curated record. Lineage: Eukaryota; Metazoa; Arthropoda; Malacostraca; Decapoda; Palaemonidae.